AACGAACGCUGGCGGCAUGCCUAACACAUGCAAGUCGAACGAAGGCUUCGUCCUUAGUUGCUCACGCGUGCGUAACGCGUCGGAAUCUGCCCUUUUGUUCGGAAUAACAGCUGGAAACGGCUGCUAAUACCGGAUGAUGACGAAAAUCCAAAGAUUUAUCGCCAGAGUAUGAGCCCGCGUUGGAUUAGGCAGUUGGUGGGGUAAAGGCCUACCAAGCCGACGAUCCAUAGCUGGUCUGAGAGGAUGAUCAGCCACACUGGGACUGAGACACGGCCCAGACUCCUACGGGAGGCAGCAGGGGGGAAUAUGGGACAAUGGGCGCAAGCCUGAUCCAGCAAUGCCGCGUGAGUGAUGAAGGCCUAGGGUUGUAAAGCUCGUUUACCCGGGAAGAUAAUGACUGUACCGGGAGAAUAAGCCCCGGCUAACUCCGUG
RNAcentral lists this ribosomal RNA (432 nucleotides) under uncultured bacterium. RNAcentral describes it as "partial 16S ribosomal RNA". It matches the Rfam family "Bacterial small subunit ribosomal RNA", at positions 29 to 507 of the family's 1533-position model. The record is from RNAcentral.